UCACAUUGAUUCGACCAUUUUUUUGUAAUCGCCGGGAAAGUUUUUCAAUACUCGCACGGAUUCUUCCUUUUCCCGGUACUCUUCCGGAUUCUACUAUUUUUUGGUACUUACACUGAUUCGACCCUUCUCCGGUACUCGUCAGGACAAUUUUUCGAUACUCGCAUGGAUUCUACCUUUUCCCGGUACUCGCCCGGAUUCUAUCAUUUUUCGGUACUCACAUUGAUUCGACCAUUUUUUUGUAAUAGCCGGGAUUGGUUUUCGAUACUCGCACGGAUUCUACCUUUUCCCAGUACUCACCCGGAUUCUACUAUUUUUCGGUACUCACACUGAUUCGAGCCUUUUCCGGUACUCGAUAGGACAAUUUUUCGAUACUCGCAUGGAUACUUCCUUUUCCUGGUACUCGCCCGGAUUCUAUUAUUUUUCGGUACUCACAUUGAUUCGACCAUUUCUUUGUAAUCGCCGGGAAAGUUUUUCAAUACUGCACGGAUUCUUCCUUUUCCCGGUACUCUUCCGGAUUCUACUAUUUUUCGGUACUCACACUAUUGACCCUUUUCCGGUACUCGUGAGGACAAUUUUUCGAUACUCACAUGGAUUCUACCUUUUCCCGGUACUCGCCCGGAUUCUAUCAUUUUUCAGUACUCACAUUGAUUCGACCAUUUUUUUCUAAUCGCCGGGACAGUUUUUCAAUACUCGCACGGAUUCUUCCUUUUCCCGGUACUCUUCC
RNAcentral lists this long non-coding RNA (724 nucleotides) under Vitis vinifera (wine grape). RNAcentral describes it as "long non-coding RNA (VVIN_LNC008030)". The record is from RNAcentral. Lineage: Eukaryota; Viridiplantae; Streptophyta; Magnoliopsida; Vitales; Vitaceae.